GGCCACCAUGUUCUAUCUGGCUGCGACAUCUGCCACCCCAUUGAUCGCCAGGGUUAAUUUGGCUGAUCUGGCUGGCUAGGCAGGUGUCCUUCCUCCCUCAUUGCUCCGUGUGUGUCCCUCCCAAAACUGCGCCCUUGGUUAAAGAAGACGGCCUUCCCCGAAUAGAGAGGGGCUGGUCUUUGGUCGAGGGUAUACGAGUAGCUGUGCUCCCCUGCUAGAACCUCCAAACAAGCAGAUCAAUAAAAGUAUUAUUAUUACUAUUAUUAUGUUUUUGCUAUUACAUAUAUAU
Molecule: small nuclear RNA, 289 nt
Filed under: Sorex araneus (European shrew)
Lineage: Eukaryota; Metazoa; Chordata; Mammalia; Eulipotyphla; Soricidae
Description: 7SK RNA (ENSSARG00000017668.1)
Rfam family: 7SK RNA
About the family: 7SK was discovered as an abundant small nuclear RNA in the mid-70s but a possible function has only recently been suggested. Two independent studies have found that 7SK RNA binds the CDK9/cyclin T complex (known as elongation factor P-TEFb). P-TEFb activates transcription by phosphorylating the C-terminal domain of RNA polymerase II.
Source: RNAcentral